Molecule: ribosomal RNA, 1131 nt
Filed under: uncultured bacterium
Lineage: Bacteria
Description: bacterial SSU rRNA
Rfam family: Bacterial small subunit ribosomal RNA
Source: RNAcentral
AGAGUUCGAUCCUGGCUCAGGGCGAACGCUAGCGGCGCGCCUAACACAUGCAAGUCGUGCGGGAAAGGGCUUCGGCCCUAGUACCGCGGCAGACGGGUGAGUAACACGUGAGCAACCUGUCCCCGGGUCUGGGAUAACCACCCGAAAGGGUGGCUAAUACCGGAUAAAGUCACCGGGCGCAAGCUCGGUGAUGAAAGGGGGCCUCUGCAUAGCAAGCUCCUGCCUGGGGAGGGGCUCGCGGCCCAUCAGCUAGUUGGUGGGGUAACGGCCCACCAAGGCUAUGACGGGUAGCCGGCCUGAGAGGGUGGUCGGCCACACGGGCACUGAGACACGGGCCCGACUCCUACGGGAGGCAGCAGUGGGGAAUCUUGGGCAAUGGGCGAAAGCCUGACCCAGCGACGCCGCGUGGGGGAAGAAGGCCUUCGGGUCGUAAACCCCUGUUCUGGGGGAAGAACCCUGAACGGGUUAAUAGUCCGUUCAGGCUGACGGUACCCCAGGAGAAAGCCACGGCUAACUGCGUGCCAGCAGCCGCGGUAAUACGCAGGUGGCGAGCGUUGCCCGGAAUCACUGGGCGUAAAGGGUGCGUAGGCGGCAGGGCAAGUCGCGGGUUAAAGCCCGGGGCUCAACCCCGGAAAGGCCUGCGAUACUGCCUUGCUUGAGGGCCGGAGAGGCUGGCGGAAUUCCCGGUGUAGGGGUGAAAUCCGUAGAUAUCGGGAGAAACACCGGUGGGGAAGCCGGCCAGCUGGACGGUUCCUGACGCUGAGGCACGAAAGCGUGGGGAGCAAACCGGAUUAGAUACCCGGGUAGUCCACGCCGUAAACGAUGGGUGCUAGGUCUGGGGAGGAAACUCUCUGGGCCGAAGCUAACGCGUUAAGCACCCCGCCUGGGGAGUACGGCCGCAAGGCUGAAACUCAAAGGAAUUGACGGGGGCCCGCACAAGCGGUGGAGCACGUGGUUUAAUUCGAUGCAAAGCGAAGAACCUUACCUGGGCUUGACAUGCCAGGGUUGUACCCCGGUGGAAACACUGGGGGAGCGUGGGUUUUUACUCACGCGCUCUGGCACAGGUGCUGCAUGGCUGUCGUCAGCUCGUGCCGUGAGGUGUUGGGUUAAGUCCCGCAACGAGCGCAACCC